CUGCCCGGUGAAGUAUUUUAACGGCCGCGGUACUCUGACCGUGCAAANGUANNAUAAUCAUUUGCCUUAUAAUUGAAGGCUAGUAUGAAUGGUUUGACAAGAAUAUAGCUGUCUCUUUACAAUUUGAUAGAAUUUUAUAUUUAGGUGAAAAAGCCUUAAUAAAAUUAAAAGACAAGAAGACCCUAUCGAGCUUUAAAAAAUUUAAUAGGUGUAAAUUAACAUUAUGAAAAACACAACUGUUAAGGAUUUUGGUUGGGGCGACUGAGGAACAUAAAAAGCUUCCUUUAAAUUUUUAUAACGUACGGGUGUUGAUCCAAAGCUUUUGAUUAAGGAAAUUAGUUACCGUAGGGAUAACAGCAUUAUCUUUUUUGAGAGUUCUUAUCGAAAAAAAGGUUUGUGACCUCGAUGUUGGACCAGAAUGUCCUAAAGAUGUAGAAGUCUUUAAGGGUUGGUCUGUUCGACCAUUAAAAUUCUA
This 475-nucleotide ribosomal RNA is filed under the name Bathyterebra coriolisi. RNAcentral's name for it is "Duplicaria coriolisi partial 16S ribosomal RNA". It matches the Rfam family "Bacterial large subunit ribosomal RNA", at positions 1859 to 2598 of the family's 2925-position model. Lineage: Eukaryota; Metazoa; Mollusca; Gastropoda; Neogastropoda; Drilliidae. The record is from RNAcentral.